Etheostoma spectabile (orangethroat darter) is the source of this 128-nucleotide long non-coding RNA. RefSeq lists it as uncharacterized. The transcript has 3 exons. The record is from RefSeq and is a predicted model, not a curated record. Lineage: Eukaryota; Metazoa; Chordata; Actinopteri; Perciformes; Percidae.
AUGUAUGUGUGUGCAUCAGCAGUGACUGACACACAGUUAGACACCCUCCCUGGCCCUGAUUGGUGCAUCUGAACAGGGAGCGGUAGAUUUUUGCAAAUUGCACGAUUUGUUUUUUAAAUGACCUGCUU